Molecule: long non-coding RNA, 578 nt
Organism: Quercus lobata
Lineage: Eukaryota; Viridiplantae; Streptophyta; Magnoliopsida; Fagales; Fagaceae
Exons: 3
Source: RefSeq, a predicted model, not a curated record
UCUCUCUCACCUCACCAUCUCGCGUGCUCUCUCUACUUCUCUACUACGUUCUUUUAAUUUUGCUCCUCCUCAUCAUUCUUGUCCGAUCUUCACCUCAUCUUCAUACAAAUCUCAGUGAGAAAAAGGAGGUAAGGAGCCUUGCAACUUUGGGUGUUAUUUAUGUAGUUAAACGCACAUGGCGCUAGAAGAUUGAGAUUGCAAAAAGUAAGAGAUCCAUGUUCUACUGGGAUACAUAGCCUAUGAUCUACUUCUUCCAAAAGAUGGACAAUGAAGCCAAUCAUCAACCAAAGCUAGAAGGUUUAAGGACAAGGUGGACGCCAUCCAUCGACAAGAUAUUUGCAAACUUGGUUGUUAAGUAUAUACAACUUUUGAAAGAGCAAAUUAGUUUUAGUUGUUGAGAAAAUGUAGCUACAUUGUAUGGAUUCUAAUGUGAUAUUAUAGAGUUUUUAGCCAAAACAAAGUUAUUAGCAAAACUUGAUUCUAUGGCGAAACUUAAUUCAUUCAUGCUUGGACUUCAUUUGUAUGUUAAAAGUUAAAACUAUGACAUUUUUUGUUGAAACUAUUAACUUCAAAUUUAA